AUUGCUUCUUGGCUUUUGGGCUAAGAUCAAGUGUAGUAUCUGUUCUUAUCAAUUGAAUAUCUGAUAUGUCCUAAAAUUUAAAAAAUUUAACAACAAUGGUUUAUGCAUACACAGGCAAAUUCUUUCUCUCUCUCUCUUCGUCUUUCUUUGUUGCCCCCACAAAUGGCAGCACAGUGGACAAGCC
Molecule: small nuclear RNA, 184 nt
Filed under: Microcebus murinus (gray mouse lemur)
Lineage: Eukaryota; Metazoa; Chordata; Mammalia; Primates; Cheirogaleidae
Description: U2 spliceosomal RNA (ENSMICG00000024143.3)
Rfam family: U2 spliceosomal RNA (bases 1-125)
About the family: U2 is a small nuclear RNA (snRNA) component of the spliceosome (involved in pre-mRNA splicing). Complementary binding between U2 snRNA (in an area lying towards the 5' end but 3' to hairpin I) and the branchpoint sequence (BPS) of the intron results the bulging out of an unpaired adenosine, on the BPS, which initiates a nucleophilic attack at the intronic 5' splice site, thus starting the first of two transesterification reactions that mediate splicing.
Source: RNAcentral